RNAcentral lists this ribosomal RNA (344 nucleotides) under uncultured bacterium. Its description in RNAcentral is "bacterial SSU rRNA". It matches the Rfam family "Bacterial small subunit ribosomal RNA", at positions 1 to 334 of the family's 1533-position model. The record is from RNAcentral.
ACACGUGAUUCAGAGUUUGAUCCUGGCUCAGGAUGAACGCUAGCGGCAGGCUUAACACAUGCAAGUCGAGGGGCAGCAUAAACAUUGCUUGCAAUGUUUGAUGGCGACCGGCGCACGGGUGCGUAACGCGUAUGUAACCUACCUCAAACAGGGGCAUAACACUGAGAAAUUGGUACUAAUUCCCCAUAACACUCAUUAAGGCAUCUUUUUGAGUUGAAAGUUCCGGCGGUUUGAGAUGGACAUGCGUUGUAUUAGCUAGUUGGUGAGGUAACGGCUCACCAAGGCGACGAUACAUAGGGGGACUGAGAGGUUAACCCCCACAUUGGUACUGAGACACGGACCAA